GUGUGUCCUCCUGCAGCGGCUCCAGGUUCCUCACCUGUCUGCUGUGUCUCUGCAGAGGCUCUAGUCACUGUGGUGGAAGUCGAAUCCGACCAAGAAGACAGCAAAGCUCUCCCACCUAGGUCUGUUCACUCUGAGUCUGAGACCAUCACUGCCAAUUUCAUCAGACUAAAACUAGAGUUGAUGAAAACAAAGGCAGGAUGAAUAAAACUGUGUCAAAUUUGAUUAAUAUUUGUGUCAAUGAAUAAAAAGAAGAGAAAAAUCCUCCUAAAGGUGAAAUCUAAUCAGGAGUGAUGUAGUUGAUUUCAGUUUUAAACAAAUCGGCGGUGUCAAAACAAUAUACACUAUUCAGAUACUUGUGAUUUUUGUUUGUGUGUGACAGGAUUAUAGACUGGAUCAAACAGGGAAUAGAGAAAGUUGUUCCCCAGCCUGAGAUCUACAUUAGAGCGAAAAUAGACGAGGACCAACAACCUGAGCCUUCCGCAACUGGAAAAGACAUGGCCCCUCCAACUAGAAAAGCAUCGGAUACAGACAAGUCCACUGUGGAAGUUGAGCAGCAGCCAAAGUAUGUUGACCAUCACUUUGUAUUUUCCAGAACAAAGAAUGUGUGCAUGGUUAAAGAAAAAGAGAAAAAUAAGAUAAAAUGUUUCCCGUUGUUAUGUUCAGUGUAAUGGGAUGGAUCAUCAGUGGGAUCAGUCGCAUGUUGCCUCAGCCCGUCAUCAGGCCGGUGAGUCACACAGACAUUCAAUGUUAAAUAAAUGUGAUCAAAUCACUCAAACUGUGUUUGGUUUACAGACACAGCAAGUCCCGACUGAUGAAGUGCAAAGCAUCGUCCAAAAGAAAGGUGAUUUGGUGCUGGAGGACGUGGACGAACACCAGGCAGAACAGGAAGUGAUGGACAAACCUCAGUCACACAACAAAGAGGUUCUGCAGCCAUUGGACAAGAAUAAGGAGCAGAUGGAUCCCCUGAUGGAGAGAAUAAAGAAGGAGACAGAGGAGGAGGUUCAGGCUCAGGUGGAGGAAAGGCUGCAGCAGGAGCGACUGGAAGCUGCCCUCGUGGCAGAGGAAGUGGCUCGACGUGCUGCAGAGGAUGCAGUGAGACAGCUGGAGGCGGAGCAACUGGCAACGGUGGUCACCGACGUCCUGCCAGAGAGCAACGAGCAAUUACCAAACAUCCAGGAGGAGAACGAGGAUGAUCCAGAUGGGCUGGUGGUUGAGGCUGAAGCUGAAGCUGUGACUCAGGUGGAGAUCAUCGAGUCUUUAUCUUCUCCCAUUAAAUCUGAAGUGGCUCCUGCUUCAGUGGAACCGCCCAGAUCUGAGAAGAGAGAGCCGGAGGGCCCGGCCCCCCCACCAGUCUGCCAACAGCCUGAACAACAACUAACUCAUGAAGCUGCGCCCACCACCACAGACAAGGGUUUUGUUUCUCCUCAGGAUGGAGCAGCAAAACAACAACAGGAAAGCGAAGUUUCUGAAGUUUGCUCUCCGAUAAAGAGCUUCCUGCUUCGGUUCCCGCUCGCUGCUGAGUGUCUGCAGAGCUGCUGUAAAUGGGUGCACGACAGCAGCCUCAACCCGACUUCGCUGCCCUCACCGCCCGAGCUCUCACAGCUCACACAGCUUCACAAGCAGGCGCACAAGUGCUGCAUGAGCAUCGUCAGCCGCCUCCGACGCCUUAACGCUGGCACCCAGCAUCCUCAGCAGCCUUAA
Gouania willdenowi (blunt-snouted clingfish) is the source of this 1701-nucleotide long non-coding RNA. NCBI's taxonomy places the organism in Eukaryota, Metazoa, Chordata, Actinopteri, Blenniiformes, Gobiesocidae. The record is from Ensembl.